RNAcentral lists this long non-coding RNA (549 nucleotides) under Papio anubis (olive baboon). Its description in RNAcentral is "lncRNA (ENSPANG00000049882.1)". Lineage: Eukaryota; Metazoa; Chordata; Mammalia; Primates; Cercopithecidae. The record is from RNAcentral.
CAGUAAAGGUCACUGGAAUAGGCUCUUGGAUUCAUUAUAGCCAAGUAAAGGCCUAGGAAGCCAGCGAAGUCAUCUGCAUUGACCCAGAAGAACACUCGAAGUACCAAUGUGAAGAUAUCAGGGACCUCAAGUUAAAAAAUCACACCUAACACUCUCAGAGGUCUACAUCAGGAGUUGGCAAGCUUUGUCUACAAAGGACCAGCAGCAAAGUUUUCAGACCUUGCAAAAAAUAUGAUAUCUGCAACUACUCAACUCUGCCACUGUAGCAUGAAAGCAGUCACAGAUAAUAGAAGCCUGAACAAAUUAAGACAGUUAUCAACAAGAAACUCCACUAUCUUAGAGAGAAAUGAGCCAUUGGAGGAGCUCAGAUGGAUGUUACAAGCACUGUCUCUUACCCAAAAGAGUUCAGCUCUCCAGGAAGACACGAGAAAGAAGCUUGGAAAGUUGGACUUAGUUUCAUCUCUUCAGAAGUCAGGGACUCCUGACUACCAUCAUGAAGGAACAUUUCAUCACUCUCUUCAGAGGACAGGUCACUGUAAUUGGUUCUAG